Molecule: ribosomal RNA, 464 nt
Filed under: Vreelandella stevensii
Lineage: Bacteria; Pseudomonadati; Pseudomonadota; Gammaproteobacteria; Oceanospirillales; Halomonadaceae
Description: partial 16S ribosomal RNA
Rfam family: Bacterial small subunit ribosomal RNA
Source: RNAcentral
CCUACGGGCGGCUGCAGUGGGGAAUAUUGGACAAUGGGCGAAAGCCUGAUCCAGCCAUGCCGCGUGUGUGAAGAAGGCCUUCGGGUUGUAAAGCACUUUCAGUGGGGAAGAAAGCCUUGGGGCUAAUACCCUCGAGGAAGGACAUCACCCACAGAAGAAGCACCGGCUAACUCCGUGCCAGCAGCCGCGGUAAUACGGAGGGUGCGAGCGUUAAUCGGAAUUACUGGGCGUAAAGCGCGCGUAGGCGGUCUGAUAAGCCGGUUGUGAAAGCCCCGGGCUCAACCUGGGAACGGCAUCCGGAACUGUCAGGCUAGAGUGCAGGAGAGGAAGGUAGAAUUCCCGGUGUAGCGGUGAAAUGCGUAGAGAUCGGGAGGAAUACCAGUGGCGAAGGCGGCCUUCUGGACUGACACUGACGCUGAGGUGCGAAAGCGUGGGUAGCAAACAGGAUUAGAUACCCUGGUAGC